Molecule: ribosomal RNA, 513 nt
Filed under: uncultured bacterium
Lineage: Bacteria
Description: partial 16S ribosomal RNA
Rfam family: Bacterial small subunit ribosomal RNA
Source: RNAcentral
GACGAACGCUGGCGGCAUGCCUAAUACAUGCAAGUCGAGCGGACAGAUGAAGUGCUUGCACUUCUGACGUUAGCGGCGAACGGGUGAGUAACACGUAAGGAAUCUACCUAUAAGCGGGGGAUAACAUUCGGAAACGGGUGCUAAUACCGCAUAAUAUCUUCUUCCGCAUGGAAGAAGAUUGAAAGACGGCUCUGCUGUCACUUAUAGAUGACCUUGCGGUGCAUUAGUUGGUUGGUGGGGUAACGGCCUACCAAGACGAUGAUGCAUAGCCGACCUGAGAGGGUGAUCGGCAACAUUGGGACUGAGACACGGCCCAAACUCCUACGGGAGGCAGCAGUAGGGAAUCUUCCGCAAUGGGCGAAAGCCUGACGGAGCAAUGCCGCGUGAGUGAAGAAGGCCUUCGGGUCGUAAAACUCUGUUAUAAGAGAAGAACAAAUUGUAGAGUAACUGCUACAGUCUUGACGGUAUCUUAUCAGAAAGCCACGGCUAACUACGUGCCAGCAGCCGCAGUAA